UACGAAGGGGGCUAGCGUUGCUCGGAAUUACUGGGCGUAAAGGGCGCGUAGGCGGCCUGCUAAGUCGAACGUGAAAUCCCCGGGCUCAACCCGGGAACUGCGUCCGAUACUGGUAGGCUUGAAUUCGGGAGAGGGAUGCGGAAUUCCAGGUGUAGCGGUGAAAUGCGUAGAUAUCUGGAAGAACACCGGUGGCGAAGGCGGCAUCCUGGACCGGUAUUGACGCUGAGGCGCGAAAGCCAGGGGAGCAAACGGG
Molecule: ribosomal RNA, 253 nt
Filed under: uncultured bacterium
Lineage: Bacteria
Description: partial 16S ribosomal RNA
Rfam family: Bacterial small subunit ribosomal RNA
Source: RNAcentral